UGGGGAAUAUUGCACAAUGGGCGCAAGCCUGAUGCAGCCAUGCCGCGUGUGUGAAGAAGGCCUUCGGGUUGUAAAGCACUUUCAGCGAGGAGGAAGGUGGUGAGCUUAAUACGUUCAUCAAUUGACGUUACUCGCAGAAGAAGCACCGGCUAACUCCGU
RNAcentral lists this ribosomal RNA (159 nucleotides) under uncultured Gammaproteobacteria bacterium. RNAcentral's name for it is "partial 16S ribosomal RNA". It matches the Rfam family "Bacterial small subunit ribosomal RNA", at positions 355 to 506 of the family's 1533-position model. Lineage: Bacteria; Pseudomonadati; Pseudomonadota; Gammaproteobacteria. The record is from RNAcentral.